RNAcentral lists this unclassified non-coding RNA (297 nucleotides) under plant metagenome. RNAcentral describes it as "partial contains 5.8S ribosomal RNA, internal transcribed spacer 2, and large subunit ribosomal RNA". The stretch from base 1 to 104 matches the Rfam family "5.8S ribosomal RNA", at positions 51 to 154 of the family's 154-position model. The record is from RNAcentral.
AAAUGCGAUAAGUAAUGUGAAUUGCAGAAUUCAGUGAAUCAUCGAAUCUUUGAACGCACAUUGCGCCCCCUGGUAUUCCGGGGGGCAUGCCUGUUCGAGCGUCAUUUCACCACUCAAGCCUCGCUUGGUAUUGGGCAACGCGGUCCGCCGCGUGCCUCAAAUCGACCGGCUGGGUCUUCUGUCCCCUAAGCGUUGUGGAAACUAUUCGCUAAAGGGUGCUCGGGAGGCUACGCCGUAAAACAAACCCAUUUCUAAGGUUGACCUCGGAUCAGGUAGGGAUACCCGCUGAACUUAAGC